GAUGAACGCUGGCGGCGUGCCUAAUACAUGCAAGUCGAGCGAACGGACGAGAAGCUUGCUUCUCUGAUGUUAGCGGCGGACGGGUUAGUAACACGUGGAUAACCUACCUAUAAUACUGGGAUAACUUCGUGAAACCGUAGCUAAUACCGGAUAAUAUUUUGACCCGCAUGUUUCAAUAGUGAAAGACGGUCUUUCUGUCACUUAUAGAUGGAUCCGCGCUGCAUUAGCUAGUUGGUAAGGUAACGGCUUACCAAGGCAACGAUGCAUAGCCGACCUGAGAGGGUGAUCGGCCACACUGGAACUGAGACACGGUCAAGACUCCUACGGGAGGCAGCAGUAGGGAAUCUUCCGCAAUGGGCGAAAGCCUGACGGAGCAAAGCCGCGUGAGUGAUGAAGGUCUUCGGAUCGUAAAACUCUGUUAUUAGGGAAGAACAUAUGUGUAAGUAACUGUGCACAUCUUGACGGUACCUAAUCAGAAAGCCACGGCUAACUACGUG
This 497-nucleotide ribosomal RNA is filed under the name uncultured bacterium. RNAcentral describes it as "partial 16S ribosomal RNA". It matches the Rfam family "Bacterial small subunit ribosomal RNA", at positions 28 to 507 of the family's 1533-position model. The record is from RNAcentral.